Molecule: non-coding RNA, 86 nt
Filed under: Leptospirillum sp. Group IV 'UBA BS'
Lineage: Bacteria; Pseudomonadati; Nitrospirota; Nitrospiria; Nitrospirales; Nitrospiraceae
Description: sRNA-Xcc1
Rfam family: sRNA-Xcc1
Source: Rfam by way of RNAcentral
UGCCGGGCGUGCGACGAAUACAAGACCCGCAAGGGAAAUAAGUCCGCCGUGCCUUUGGACGGUAGUUAGCGCCCGGCCCCCAUUCU